RNAcentral lists this ribosomal RNA (431 nucleotides) under uncultured bacterium. RNAcentral's name for it is "partial 16S ribosomal RNA". It matches the Rfam family "Bacterial small subunit ribosomal RNA", at positions 29 to 507 of the family's 1533-position model. The record is from RNAcentral.
AACGAACGCUGGCGGCAGGCUUAACACAUGCAAGUCGAACGCCCCGCAAGGGGAGUGGCCGACGGGUGAGUAACGCGUGGGAACAUACCCUUUUCUACGGAAUAGCUCUGGGAAACUGGAAUUAAUACCGUAUACGCCCUACGGGAGAAAGAUUUAUCGGGGAAGGAUUGGCCCGCGUUGGAUUAGCUAGUUGGUGGGGUAAAGGCCUACCAAGGCGACGAUCCAUAGCUGGUCUGAGAGGAUGAUCAGCCACAUUGGGACUGAGACACGGCCCAAACUCCUACGGGAGGCAGCAGUGGGGAAUAUUGGACAAUGGGCGCAAGCCUGAUCCAGCCAUGCCGCGUGAGUGAUGAAGGCCUUAGGGUUGUAAAGCUCUUUCACCGAUGAAGAUAAUGACGGUAGUCGGAGAAGAAGCCCCGGCUAACUUCGUG